RNAcentral lists this long non-coding RNA (708 nucleotides) under Salmo trutta (river trout). RNAcentral describes it as "lncRNA (ENSSTUG00000026247.1)". Lineage: Eukaryota; Metazoa; Chordata; Actinopteri; Salmoniformes; Salmonidae. The record is from RNAcentral.
UUUGUUAACUGAAGAAUAUAGAGAGCCAAUUGAAAGCAACUCCUGCGUAAUAGCACAAGCACACACACACACACACACACACACACACACUGUACAGCACUCGGCUCGCGGGUAUUGAGAAAACCCUCAGGAGGAGGAACCAACAUUUUUUCAUUUACCCUUAUCAUCACUUCCUUACCAGCGCCAAAGCAAACACGCGCUCCUGAAGGUGUAUGAAACACUAAUCGAGAAACGGGUUCAAUGUUUCGGAUGAAAACGCAGCCUUAGAUUCGCUGGAAAGCUGUCAUUUCGGUUUAUUAGACCGUAGUAGACGAACAUUCAAGAAAUCCAAACAAAGUGCGCACACAUUUCAAAAAUCUGCAGUCAUCAUCACUUUGAAGAAUAAUAAAUAGGCAUCCACAGUGAGUAAAGACUUAUCGUGCAUUGAGUUUGACUAUUGAACGUACCAGUUUCAUCUGUAGAAACGUUUUGCAAUAGAGAUUUGAACACGCUACGCCAUAUGGAGAGAGAACAGUGUUGAACAACUACCGGAUUUUCUUUCGACCUAAAUCAUGGAAAGCUGACGGCGAGGACCUUGAGUGACUGUGUCUUACCAGGGCCUCUAAGACUCCAUAUCAAACUCUUACUUUAUCUGCAAGUGAGUGUUGAUGACAUCUUAGGCAUAGCACAACAUAGCAAUGCAUCGCAAAGCAUAGCAUACCAUAGCAA